This 520-nucleotide ribosomal RNA is filed under the name uncultured bacterium. Its description in RNAcentral is "bacterial SSU rRNA". It matches the Rfam family "Bacterial small subunit ribosomal RNA", at positions 120 to 674 of the family's 1533-position model. The record is from RNAcentral.
GGGAAUCUACCGUGCCCUGCGGAAUAGCUCCGGGAAACUGGAAUUAAUACCGCAUACGCCCUACGGGGGAAAGAUUUAUCGGGGUAUGAUGAGCCCGCGUUGGAUUAGCUAGUUGGUGGGGUAAAGGCCUACCAAGGCGACGAUCCAUAGCUGGUCUGAGAGGAUGAUCAGCCACAUUGGGACUGAGACACGGCCCAAACUCCUACGGGAGGCAGCAGUGGGGAAUAUUGGACAAUGGGCGCAAGCCUGAUCCAGCCAUGCCGCGUGAGUGAUGAAGGCCUUAGGGUUGUAAAGCUCUUUCACCGGAGAAGAUAAUGACGGUAUCCGGAGAAGAAGCCCCGGCUAACUUCGUGCCAGCAGCCGCGGUAAUACGAAGGGGGCUAGCGUUGUUCGGAAUUACUGGGCGUAAAGCGCACGUAGGCGGAUAUUUAAGUCAGGGGUGAAAUCCCAGAGCUCAACUCUGGAACUGCCUUUGAUACUGGGUAUCUUGAGUAUGGAAGAGGUAAGUGGAAUUGCGAGU